This 423-nucleotide long non-coding RNA is filed under the name Mytilus galloprovincialis (Mediterranean mussel). Lineage: Eukaryota; Metazoa; Mollusca; Bivalvia; Mytilida; Mytilidae. The record is from RNAcentral.
GUGUAUUGAUGUAUGACUAUGUCAAGUCUAAAUCCAACUUGAUAUGUAAAGUGUGUAAAAAUAUUUUAAAAUAUUUUAAAUGUACACCCUAAGUGUAUGUGUGUAUGUACAAAGUAAGUUUCAGCUGUGCAAAAGUCUAUCUAAAUCAGUAAAGUUUAGUGUAAUAAGUGGUUGCUAAUGUAAACAAGCUUUGUGUAUACAACUUCCGGUUCCGGUUGACCUUGACCUCACCCUGGGGGGUUGGGUAAAUAAAUGGGGAGAAAGGGGUCAAGUCUCAAUUACAAAAAAAAAAUCAAAGUACAACAUGUACAAACACAUCAUAUAUAAAUGUCUAUAUACUAUUACAACUACUGUACAAUCACUGUAUCUAAUAACUCUAAAUCAGUUAAACCAAAUCGUAAAAUUUCAAAUUUGUUUUCUGAU